GGAAUAUUGGACAGUGGGGGCAACCCUGAUCCAGCCAUGCCGCGUGUGUGAAGAAGGCCUUCGGGUUGUAAAGCACUUUUGUUGGGGAAGAAAAGCACUGGGCUAAUACCUUGGUGUCCUGACGGUACCCAAAGCAUAAGCACCGGCUAACUUCGUGCCAGCCGCCGCGGUAAUACGAAGGGUGCAAGCGUUACUCGGAAUUACUGGGCGUAAAGCGUGCGUAGGCGGUUUGUUAAGUCUGUCGUGAAAGCCCCGGGCUCAACCUGGGAAUGGCGAUGGAUACUGGCGAGCUAGAGUACGGUAGAGGAGAGUGGAAUUCCCGGUGUAGCAGUGAAAUGCGUAGAGAUCGGGAGGAACAUCAGUUACGAAGGCGGCUCUCUGGACCAGUACUGACGCUGAGGCACGAAAGCGUGGGGAGCAAAC
This 423-nucleotide ribosomal RNA is filed under the name uncultured bacterium. RNAcentral describes it as "bacterial SSU rRNA". It matches the Rfam family "Bacterial small subunit ribosomal RNA", at positions 358 to 773 of the family's 1533-position model. The record is from RNAcentral.